CUGAACAAGUUAGCUCCCCCAAUUGUCCCUGAGAGCACUUCACAAGUGAUUUGUAGGCCCAGGCUAGAAAGGAGUUCAAGCUCUGUUUGGCUAUCCUUCUCUAAUCUCCCUUUUAAUGUAUUCUACUGCCACCUCCAAUGAUACCCGUCAAAGAGGGCUUUCAGUUAACUGAUAGAAAUGGGUGAUGUCGGAAAGAUAAACAGUAAUGGGGGCGUACAGAUCGGACGACGAUUACGAUUAUUUGUUCAAGGUGGUGUUGAUCGGCGAUUCCGGCGUCGGAAAAUCUAAUCUUCUAUCCAGAUUUACACGUAACGAGUUCAGUCUAGAGUCAAAGUCAACGAUCGGUGUUGAAUUCGCUACUCGUAGCAUUCGUGUUGAUGAUAAGGUCGUCAAGGCUCAGAUUUGGGAUACUGCCGGUCAGGAACGGUAUCUCCAUUUUUUCAUUACUCAAUUCUAAAUUGGAUAGAUUAGCAUUUGCGGUAGAAAUUAGAAUAAUAUGUUAACAUUUGAGAUCUAAAAUGCUGAUACAAAAUUGAUUUGCAAUAAUUGACGUUAUGCAGUAUAGUUAUUGUGGCAAAGUCAGAUCUGAUACUUCCGUUAGGUUUACUUGAGAGUACAAAAUGUACCAGUAGGACAAUAACAAUGACAUACUCGGUGUAAUUGCAUAAAGUACAAUUGUUUCAGAAAAUGUUGAAAUGUUCUCUGAUUGCCAUUGGUUGAAAGAAAAUUUCUUUCAGGUUUGGCAAAAUAUUUUUGUUGAAACGAAUGCCACCUAAAUAUUUUGCUGAAAAAUGUCAAUUUCCAAUUUUUGUGUGUUGAUUACACUGAACUGUAAAAACUUAAAACUUAAGAUUGUUAGAGUAGGAAGUGCGGAACUGCUAGGAAUUUUCUGUCUGAAUAAUUUUUUGGAGAUCAUAGUCAUUCUCAUAGGAAAAGCCACUGCCUUUUGUUGUUCUUGCACCAAUUCGUAAUCGGAGGGCAAGAGAAUUGGACAGACUGCCCUCAGAAAUCAAAGACCGUUUUUCUCUGUAUUUCUCGUCCUGAACAAGUUAGCUCCCCCAAUUGUCCCUGAGAGCACUUCACAAGUGAUUUGUAGGCCCAGGCUAGAAAGGAGUUCAAGCUCUGUUUGGCUAUCCUUCUCUAAUCUCCCUUUUAAUGUAUUCUACUGCCACCUCCAAUGAUACCCGUCAAAGAGGGCUUUCAGUUAACUGAUAGAAAUGGGUGAUGUCGGAAAGAUAAAAGGAAAAACAACAGGCUUAAGAUUAUUACUUACAAAAAAAAAAAAAAAAACUAUAGUCUUAAGCUGGUCGUGUCUAAAGUGUCAUACAUUGGCAUCUGCUUUGGUGGCUAAGCGUUGCAAGUGUCUUUCCCAUAUGAGUUUUAAGCUUAAAGAAAUAUUGACUUUGCUAAACUCUGAGCAUCAUAUCAACUUGAACAUUGCUUUAUGAAAUGAUCAUGUAGUUUGAUGGCUUUCAUGUUGUUUUCCUCAAACAAAAGAUCCAGGGGAUCAACUAGGAUGAUCAAGGCUACAAUAGUGAACUUUUUUGAGUUUAAAAUUACUGCCACCCUACUACUCCCUGGGGAUCUAGUCUGCAUAAUUAAGUUAGUGUUCACAUUUUUUAUCAUGGAUUUAAGAUGCAAUGUUUUUUUCCUAAUUUGCAUUCAUUAGGGUAACAUUGAUAUUUGAAAUGAUUUAGUAUUUGUUCAUUUUAAAGUCCGAAAUGAGAUGUGAUCAUGUUCUUGUUAUGAAUAAGUUUGGUGUCCCAACUACUACGAGACUCUUUUCAUUCCUUAUCUUCACCUAUCUAUUGUUGUAUUAGUUUUCCAGCCUUGACUUUCUUCUCCUAUCUAUUGUUGUAUUAGUUUUCCAG
This 1871-nucleotide long non-coding RNA is filed under the name Solanum tuberosum (potato). RNAcentral's name for it is "long non-coding RNA (STUB_LNC011103)". The record is from RNAcentral. Lineage: Eukaryota; Viridiplantae; Streptophyta; Magnoliopsida; Solanales; Solanaceae.